CCCCGCUUAUCGUACACGGCAUCAGCGUGGUGGGUCUGACGGUGGCAAACCGCGCGACGACCGAAGGGUUAAUGGAAUUCCGGUGUUUUGAGUCGCUGAAAAAAUGAUCACAAACUUGAAAAGUUUAUUAACAAUUGCAUGUAAUGAAUGUAAACGUGGAAAUUUCGAAUAGUUCUGCGGGGAAGAGCCACCCACCAUCGACGGUCCACCGAUGACAGAGAGGAUGUACCACGGUGUUGCCAUCUGAUGGUGACGGUUGUAUUCUUGUAACUUUAACUAGUAAGUUCAUAGUAGUUCUACUGUCAAUUACACAGUAAAGGAAAUUCAGAUACUUUACCGCGUAUACCACAGAAAAAAAUGUAUACCUACUUUGUCACGUCAUGUACCUGAUAUCCAAGCAACCAAAACAAACUCGCCAGCUGUCACUUGGCAUUUCAAAAUGGCGGAAUUGGAAAUCUGACACAUUGGACUACCUCCCUUCUAGAUACCUUGAUUGUAUGUUCUUUGUUCUACAAGAGAUAUGGGUCAAUUUCUGUCACGGUCGUCAUGUUUGAACGUGAGACAUAGUGAUGCGAUAUCUUUUCUAAUGUCCAUCAGAAUCGGUUUCAUCGGAAAUAAUUUAAAGAUUUCAAAAUUUUGCUCUAUUUGACUGGCAAAUUAAGCUCUUUUUGCUAAUCUCUCGUCUUCUAGCGGAGUGUUCGGAAUUAGGCGUGAAUCUAAGGCUCAUAAUCUCGGUAGUUUGUAAUAUCAAUUGCCUGUAUGGAUCUGUCGAGUAUAGUCACGGUUGCCAUAUGCUCAAAUCCAACAAUUUGCAAAAUCACUGUAUUUUCUAUUACCAAAUUAUUUUCAGGAAAACCAUGUUGAAAAGAGAGAUUCAGGUACAGUGGAUGCCUGACCGUCCAACCAAUUUGAUUGGAAACCAAUACUGUGGAAAUCUCCACCAGAUGUACUGGUUUACCAACUGCCCUUCUAGGCAACCCAAGGUGGACUUAUUCUGCCAAUUGGAAAAUGAAUGAAACAAGUAUUGUGGAAAUCUCCACCAGGAAACACUUGUUUCAGGAACCUUUAUUAGAGAAGAGAGUUCUUUCUUAAAUAGAAUAAACUCUCAUUAAAAAUCAAUGAGUAAAUUUAUUACCUUACGCUGGCAUGAUACAAGCGAUAAUGAAAAAGAAAAAUAAAAACUUGGCCGUAACUGCACUCGAACUACCUUCUACUCGGCCAAAUAUCGCCACGUGCUUUUUGUGCGCACUCUAAAAAAUGUUCUCUGAAAUUAUGAAAUUUAUAAUUCAACAAACCAAAACUGCUAUAUGGAGAGAUGUCAAUCCGUCAUUCGGUGAGUUUGGGUUUAUUACGCAAAUCAUAAGGUACAAUUUCAUCUAUUGCCGAUUGUUAUGGCCGAAAUGUUCAACUCAAUUUGCACAAUAAACCCAGCAAAUAUUUUUCUGUGCAAUUUGUUUGUGUUUUCUCUGUUCCUUGGUUCUACAAGAAAUAUGGGUCAAUUUCUGUCACGGUCGUCAUGUUUGAACGUGAGACAUCGUGAGGCGAUAUCUUUUCUAAUGUCCAUCAGAAUCGGUUUCAUCGGAAAUAGGUUUAUCGGUUUCAAAAUUUUGCUCUAUUUGAAUGGCAAAUUAAGCUAUUUUUGCUAGACUUUCGUCGUCUAGCGGACUGUUCGGUAUAAGGCAUGAAUCUCAGACUCAUAAUCUCGGUGGUUUGUAAUAUAAAUUGCUUUUAUGGAUCUGUCGAGUAUAGUCACGGUCACCAUAUGCUCAAAUCCAAAAAUUUGCAAAAUCACUGUAUUUUCUAUUACCAUGUUCUUCUGAAAACAGAACUGCCAUAUGGAGAGAUGUCCAUCCGUCAUUCAGGAAUUUGGGUUUAUUAUGCAAAUCAGAAGGUACAAUUUCAACUAUUGUCGAUCGUUAUGGCCGAAAUGUUCAACUCGAUUUGCACAAUACAACCAGCAAAUAUAUUUCUGUGCAAUCUGAUUGUGCGUUCUCUGUUCCUUGGUCAUACAAUAGAUAUGGGUCUAUUUCUUUCGCGGUCGUCAUAAUUGAACGUGAGACAUAGUGAGGUGAUAUCUUUUCUAUUGCCCAUCAGAAUCAGUUUCGUCGAAAAAGUUGUAUCGGUUUAAAAAUUUUGCUCUAUUUGAUUGUCAACUUUUGCUUGUUGUGCUAUUUUGCUGAUACAAUCAUACAUAAUUCGACUUCUAGCGGACUGUUCGGAAUUCGGCGUGAAUCUAAGACUCAUAAUCUCGGUGAUUUGUAAUAUCAAUUGCCUUUAUGGAUUUGUCGAGUAUAGUCACGGUUGCCAUAUGCUCAAAUCCAAGAAUUACCAAAAUCUCUGUAUUUUCUAUUACCAUGUUCUUCUGAAAACAGAACUGCCAUAUGGAGAGAUGUCCAUCCGUCAUUCGUUGAAUUUGGGUUUAUUAUGCAUAUCAGAAGGUACAAUUUCAACUAUUGCCGAUCGUUAUGGCCGAAAUUUUCUACUCGAUUUGUAUAAUAAACCCAGCAAAUAUUUUUCUGUGAACGUGACGUGACGUGAAAGAAGCUUUAUCGGCUUCAAAAUUAUACCAUUCAAAAUAAAACCAUGUAUUAUUGGUCUUCUAGCGGACGGUUCGGAAUUAGGCGUGAAUCUAAGACUCAUGAUCUGGGUGGUUUGACAUAUCAAUUGCCUGUAUGGUUCUGUCGAGUAUGGUCAUGGUCGCCUUAUGCUCAAAUCCAAGAAUUUGCAAAGUCACUGUAUUUUCUAUUACCAUGUUCUUCUAAAAACAAAACUGCCAUAUGGAUAGAUGUCAAUCCUUCAUUCGGUAAAUUUGGGUUUAUUAUGCAAAUCAGUAGGUACAAUUUCAACUAUUGCCGAUCGUUAUGGCCGAAAUGUUCUACUCGAUUUGCAUAAUAAACCCAGCAAAUAUUUUUCUGUGCAAUUUGAUUCUGUGUUCCCUGUCCCUUGGUUCUACAAGAGAUAUGGGUCAACUUCUGAACGUAAGACGUGAAAAAAGUUUUAUCGGUUUCAAAAUUAUACCAUUCAAAAUAAAACCAUGUAUUACUCGUCUUCUAGCGGACUGUUCGGAAUUAGGCGUGAAUCUAAGACUCAUAGUCUCGGUGGUUUGUGAUAUCAAUUGCCUGUAUGGAUCUAUCGUCGAGUAUAGUCACGGUCGCCAUAUGCUCAAAUCCAAGAGAAUUAGCGAAAUCACUGUAUUUUCUAUUACCAGUUUUUUUCUGUUAAAAAAAAACUGCCAUAUGGAGAGAUGUUCAUCCUUUUUCGGUUACAUGGGGUUUAUUAUGCAAAUCAGAUGGUACAACUUUAACUAUUGCCACUCGUUAUGGCCGAAAUGUUCUGCAUGAUUUGCGUAAUAAACAUCCCAAUAAUCGUAGUCGUUUCAGCAAAUCUCGGUGAUUUGUAAUAUCAAUUGCCUUUAUGGAUUUGUCGAGUAUAGUCACGGUUGCCAUAUGCUCAAAUCCAAGAAUUACCAAAAUCUUUGUAUUUUCUAUUACCAUGUUCUUCUGAAAACAGAACUGCCAUAUGGAGAGAUGUCCAUCCGUCAUUCGGUGAAUUUGGGUUUAUUAUGCAAAUCAGAAGGUGCAAUUUCAACUAUUGCCAAUCGUUAUGGCCGAAAUGUUCUACUCGAUUUGUAUAAUAAACCCAGCAAAUAUUUUUCUGUGCGUACUCUGUUCAUUGGUUCUACAGGAGAUAUGGGUCAAUUUGUUUCAUGGUCGUUUUUAUGUCAAAACUUGUUUCCGGCAUUUUGAAGAAGAAAAUUUUUAGUUUAUUGGUCAGAAUGGUUGAAGUUUCGUAAUGCAGUUGUCUUGAUAACUUAAUAAUAUGGUUUAACUCCCUAUUUUCGAGCAAUGUUGUUUCAUCUAUUUUUUGUUCUAUUUGCGAAUGCAAUCCAUUGAUUUCUUCUAAUUGCCUGACCAAUGUUUCUUUUGUGUUUUUAUUGUAAAUGGAUUUCUUAACGUUAUUGGCCAAAAGUUGUAACUUUCUGAAUGCAUCAGUUAUACUUAAAUUACUCAUUUAUUGUUACACUUGAAAUUUUACUUGCCAUUCUGUGUGGCAUACCAGUAGUAAUUUCGGUUUCACUUUUGUCCGUCAUCUCGUUCCGCACGACACAAAUUUUCUAUUGGCGCUUUAUUGUGCACUUCUUUUUUUUUUCACGGUUCAUUUCAGUGGAAUACGUGGAUUCCAGAUAGCUCUUCUUGGAUGAAAGCACACACGAAGUAUACAGUUAGUGCUAAUAAUGCAAGGCUUGUAAUGAAAAUCGCAUUUGUUUCACGCAUUUUGCUAAUGCGGGCGGUGAUGCCAGUCCCAAUGUUCACAGUUUCACGCGCACCUUUUUGUUUUUCGUUUUGUUCCGCGGGUCUCGUUCAAAUUACAUGCGGCACUAUAUCUGGUUUACUGCUAUCCACCGCUGUGCGCAUUCGUUCGUACUUUGUCACUACCUUGUACAAUUUGUAAAUAAACAGCGCUCCAAUCACAGCUAUGUAUGCCAACACUGUCAGUGCGUUUGCGAUUUGAAUAGAGUUUUUAGCUGACUCGCCGGCGUGCUGAGCUAGUUUAUUAUUUGCAUUAAGAAUAUUAAUGACAUGACUGUCGUCCACUAUGGGCUUUUCCUUUGAAUCACUAGAACCCAUUUUUCGUUUCGUUGCUCGCACUUUUGAUUUAUCACUUUAGGUACGAUCACUUAUUUUGGACUAACCAUGGAUAACCAUGUAUUAUUCGUCUUCUAGUGGAUUGUUCGGAAUUAGGCGUGAAUCUAAGACUCAUAAUCUGGGUGGUUUGACAUAUCAAUUGCUUAUAUGGAUUUGUCGAGUAUAGUCACGGUUGCCAUAUGCUCAAAUCCAAGAAUUACCAAAAUCACUGUAUUUUCUAUUACCAUGUUCUUCUGAAAACAGAACUGCCAUAUGGAGAGAUGUCCAUCCGUCAUUCGGUGAAUUUGGGUUUAUUAUGCAAAUCAGAAGGUGCAAUUUCAACUAUUGCCAAUCGUUAUGGCCGAAAUUUUCUACUCGAUUUGUAUAAUAAACCCAGCAAAUAUUUUUCUGUGAACGUGACGUGACGUGAAAGAAGCUUUAUCGGUUUCAAAAUUAUACCAUUCAAAAUAAAACCAUGUAUUAUUCGUCUUCUAGUGGAUUGUUCGGAAUUAGGCGUGAAUCUAAGACUCAUAAUCUCGGUGAUUUGUAAUAUCAAUUGCCUUUAUGGAUUUGUCGAGUAUAGUCACGGUUGCCAUAUGCUCAAAUCCAAGAAUUACCAAAAUCUCUGUAUUUUCUAUUACCAUGUUCUUCUGAAAACAGAACUGCCAUAUGGAGAGAUGUCCAUCCGUCAUUUGGUGAAUUUGGGUUUAUUAUGCAAAUCAGAAGGUGCAAUUUCAACUAUUGCCAAUCGUUAUGGCCGAAAUGUUCUACUCGAUUUGUAUAAUAAACCCAGCAAAUAUUUUUCUGUGCGUACUCUGUUCCUUGGUUCUACAGGAGAUAUGAGUCAAUUUGUUUCACGGUCGUCAUGUUUUAACGUAAGACAUAAUGAGGCGAUACCUUUUCUAAUGUCCAUCAGAAGAGCAUUUUUCGAGGCUUCGACAUAACGGAUUUUCCAUCCGGCAAUACCAAAUGAAUUGUUCCAAGUUUAAUGGGCUUUCAUUGCAUAUAUUUUCUAUUUGUGUAAUAAGCCUCACGGGAAUCCUCACGUAAUUCUGUACCCAGUCACGGUCGCCAUAUGUCAAUCGCUGCAAUUUCUCAAUAUUUUCUAUUUCCUAUUCGUUCCUAAGUUAAGAUGUACUCGGACAGUCAAUAGACGCAGAAAUACAUAGGCUCCAAGUUCAGGGAGUGCGAGCUUGUUAUCAAAAUGAUUUGAAUGAUUUUGAGAUGUUUUGUCUGUUUAGUCGUUUAGUGUUUGUUUUUGCGUUCAAUUCUUGUGAUUUUUUGUUUGUUUUAGUAUUGUUGUAUUGUAAUUGUCUUUAAAGGAUCGUCCCUAUAAUCUUCAUUGAUGUUUGAUGAUUUCUUGUGAUAUCUCGCCCCAAACCAAAACAAUAUAAAAUUUUCUUACAAAAUUCAAAAUAAUUGGACCCCUUAACAUAUGGCAGUAUAAAUUGUAUUUCUAUUAAAGACCUAACGAUUAUAUAUAUGCAAGAAAAAAAACCCUAAGAUAAAUUACGAUUCAAAUAUCGCCAUCAAAUUUUAUCCGUGUCUUGAAAUCAAAUUCUAGUUCUGUUCUUUACGCAAUCUUUCAACGUGCAAAUCAACAGUUCGUUGAUUUAUUCAAAUUGGUGCUUUUGAAAUCGCGAGUUGGGGCACUACCCAACCAUGAAUCAUCCAUCUUUUGAUGAUCCUAGUAUUGAUUAAGUCGACAAAACAUGCUGCCAUCUAAAAGUAUCACUUCGCUUAGUAAAUUCAAAGAUAAGAAAAUGAUAAAGAAUCAAAUAUUUGGAUGUUACUGUACAUUGAACACUAAUUUUGCAAGUAUGUAUUAAAUUUGUAUAGGACUAAUUUCAGGGUUGUAAACCAUGAUACAAUAGUUAACCAAUGGUAUAAAUACCGGUGGCCAAUCGAUCCAGUUUUCUUCAUAAAAAAAUAUUUGGCUCUUCAGAUUUAUACUCUUGAAAAAUUGUGGUUUAGGUUCACCUUUUACUUGAGAUCCUUAACAAUUAUUAUAGUUUAGUGUAGGUUCAACUUUUGGAUUUUUAUCAGGAAAUAAAUAUAUUCUGUCAGCUGCACAACUAGUACGAAUUGUUGUUUGUUAAAACUGAUUCAAUGAUAAACAUUGACCUCCAACCACAAUGAAUCAUUAAUGUAACUAGGGUUGUUCUUUGCCAUCAAAAUAAUUGUUUUAGAUACCACUUUACUAGUUUAUAGGUAGAAUAAAUAAUGAUUACUAUUAAUAUACUUUUCCAAUUAUUAUAAAUAUAACACUUUAGGCCCUGUUUUCAUGUACAACAUAAAAACAAUUAUAUCUAGUAUAAAUUGAAAAAAAGCUGAAAGUAAUUGUUAGUCAAUUCCAAUGAGUUUGUCAAAGUAUUUUUUUACUACAGAAAAAUAGACGUAACACUUACCUAUAAACAGUAUACGAUAGAAACGAUCGUACAAUCAACAUAUUUUUCUCUCUAGUAUCUAAGUUAAUUAGUAUCCUUCGCCAAAAAAGUAUACUACAGAAAGUAAGUUAAUCUUCUUGAAUGUUUUUCUGUGAUUUUACGUUGAAUAACAUUAAGUUAGAAUGGAGAAAUAUGCAAAAUUUGCAAACAACGCUUAAUAAGAUCGAAGAAACCAAGCAACAAUUAACUGUUUACUACAUCGGAUAAUAAUGUAUACAUAGAUUAAUCAACAAAAACCGUUUUCAUUCUAAAUGUAUGAUUUUAAACAGACAAGUUUGAUGAAAAAUAUCAGGUUUGUGGAUUUUUUUGGCGAUAAAGCGUUCACGUUUAACUUGAGUUCGAGUAUUCGUUUCGAAAAAAAUACCGUUUUUAGAUAAUCUUUUCCCAUAGUGGAUGUCAAAAUUGGAACAGCGGCGAACCGUCAUUUCCAUACAAAUCCGCGUUCCAAUCGAGCAUGAGAUCUGUCAAAACUGGAACAGGCACUCUACCCUUUCAUAUUGCCAGAAAUUUAUUCUAAAAAUCAUAGUUCGAAUAUUAUGUAACAAAACAGCUGAGUGCACUAGAACAGUCCAGCUUAUUAUUUUUGCAUUAAUUAUAUGACGAUAUGGUUAUACAAUAAUUGUUAUAAAAUGGUCAAUUUAUGUUUCCAAAAUAAUAUAAAAAUAUAAAUGGCAUUAGUUUUAAUCAAUGAUGCUGUGCUGAGUAACAUCCCCGCAACUUCUCACAUCUCUACAAGGAAGCAGUACUCUCGAAGAAGAACAGCGAAGUGAAGCAGAAGGAGCUUGGCGAGAAAUCAAGUUACAGUGACCAUGCAGAAACUUGUUACGGUGGAAGAUUAGUAAUGAGCCUAACCUUCGUGUCACAUUAUAUGACUACGAUCAUGGAGAUCAUAAACUACAGCAACAUUCAAUUUGGACAAAUCGACGAGAUAUCAGAAAUCAACGCCACAUUCAGAAAGCCCAGUCAGAUAAUUCGGGAAAGCAGGGAUUGCAGAAAUCGUUGUCAUUCGAUAUCGAAGAAGGAUCAAAUCAGGUGGAUAAACAGAACCCUUUACCUUUGAGCAUCGAUUAAUCAAAAUGGUCACUAUGGAUAGCACCACUUUGGGCUUGUAUGUUUUACAGAAAACAGUUAUACUUACAGUUACAACAUUGUUGCAACCCAUGCACGGUAGCGCUGCUUGUUGGUUGCGGUGAGUGCCAAAUGAGUUUCUUACAAAGAUUCAUAGUCCUGCCAGUCCAAAAAGACCACAGAGAGCGAAAACCUGAACAGAGUUGUAAAAAAUUCCUGAAACAGGAUUAAAAGACUUCUCCCACGUAAGGGGCCUGAGAGAAUAAUGGAAGCUAGAAAAUAGCUCAAGUUCAUCUGGCGAAGAUGAAUAUGCACUCACUCAAAUAGGUAACUUAUUUGAAUAUGUCGUCAUCAUGAAAUUUAACAUACUUGGCAUAUGACUGAACAUAGGCGCCAGUACCGUACUUCCGCUUAUCAACGUAUGAUGCUACUGCUCACUUGUCCAAUACGGUGAUUGUACAAUAGUGCGAAUGGAAAAGAUAACAAUUCCUUAUCGAUGUCCUUACAAUACUUACGGCUGCUUUGUCCUUACGCUGCUUUCAGGCUGCUGAAGCCUUAAUUUGCCAGGAACUGAUUCAUCCUAAUUAUAAGCUCGUUAUGCCAAACCACGGAGGAAAACCUGCAAAGGUCAUCUGCACACGUUUCUGUAGUUCAAAUUUGCCAAAUAAAACUGAAUUAUUCGAUUUCUGGCGCCGUUACGCAUCUGCUCCGAUUGCUACUCCCGAUCCUGAUCCCUUCAACCGUUCCGGGCGACAUCGUGUUUCUCUUUUGGAUUUUGAGAAGCUAAAUUAGUUCAAUAAAUAUAUUUUGCGCAAGUUUGUUGUA
Aedes aegypti (yellow fever mosquito) is the source of this 8965-nucleotide long non-coding RNA. RefSeq lists it as uncharacterized. NCBI's taxonomy places the organism in Eukaryota, Metazoa, Arthropoda, Insecta, Diptera, Culicidae. The record is from RefSeq and is a predicted model, not a curated record. The transcript has 2 exons.